AGAGGCGUCAGGAUCCCUGGCGCCGCCUGAGCCAGCGGCUGCUAGGAGGCUGUGUCCGCAAGCCAGCGGGGCGAGGCGGCUGGGCCCUGCGCGUCAGGUCCCGGCCUGGGGCACCGGGGCUGCCAGCGUCGGAGGAGGCCUGAGAACUGGGAGGAAGCUGGAGAAAAGAUGCCCUCUGAAUCUUUGUGUUUGGCUGCCCAGGCUCGCCUUGACACCGAAUGGUUGAAAACAGAUAUACAGAUGAUAGUGUCGAACCAAGUGGAACAAAGAAAGAAGAUCUGAAUGACAAAGAGAAAAAAGAUGAAGACGAAACUCCUGCACCUGUAUAUAGGGCCAAGUCAAUUCUGGAGACCUGGGUGUGGGUCAAGCAACCAGGAAACGGAAGCCCAAAGAGGAGGGGAGCUUACAGCAGGCCCUGGACUAGGGAUUAACACAAAAACAACAGCAACAAAUCUGAUUUAAGCUUCACACAUAAUCAAGGGAAACUGAUGCUUCAGAAAGAUGCCCCAUCUGUAUCCUGUGGCACUCAAAGUACCCCAGGUUGAGAUGAGAUGAGGAAGAUUCAAGUUGUCAAGUCCAGUUUCCCAAGAUCUCUUGCACAGAAGAUGAGCAAAUCUCACUUCAAAGAUCACUGACUGAUGGGCACUCUGGUCCCAGAACCAUGGAGAAUUCAAAUAUGAGUCUGGCUCUGUUAUCCAGGCUGGAAUGCAGUGGCGUGAUCUCAACUCAUUGCAAGCUCCACCUUCUGGGUUCAUGCCAUUCUCCUGCUUCAGCCUCCUGAGUAGCUGGGACUACAGGCGCCCAACACCACACCUGGCUAAUUUAUUGUAUUUUUUAGUAGAGACGGGGUUUCACCUUGUUAGCCAGGAUGGUCUCGAUCUCCUGACCUCGUGAUCCACCCGCCUCGGCCUCCCAAAGUGCUGGGAUUACAGGCUUGAGCCACCACGCCCAGACUUGUGAGGUUUUAAUAUGAAGUAUUAAAGCUAUGCUGGUUAGACAAUUUGGAAAAUGUUUCUUCUCCUAUUUCUGACAGAGUUUAUGUAAGAUGUGUGCUAUUUCUUCCUUAAGCAUUUGGAAAGAAUUCACUUAUUAAGCCAUGUGAGACUGUAGUUUUCUUUAUAAGGUGUUUAACUACAGGUUCAAUUACAUAUAUAUAAAUAUUCAUUUUGGUAACCUGUGUUUGCUGAAUCAAUUUGUUCAUUUUAUCGAAAAUUUCAAAGUUAUUCUAUUAUUCAUUUAUCUUUUUAAUACUUAUAAAGUCUCCGGUUAGAGUUUGUGCCUUUUGUCUGUUUUGUUAAUCAAUCUUGCUGGAGGCCAUCAAUUUUAUUAGUGUUUCAAAAAAGCAAACUUUGAUUUUAUUCAUCCCUUUACCAUACUGAAAAUGUUUUGCUUAAUUUCCAAACUUAUAGUUCCACUGUGAUUAAAUAUUUGUAUAACUAAAACUCUGUGGAAUUUGUGUCUUCUCAAUGAUUGAAAAUAUGAUUAAUUUUUAUAAAUAUUGCUUCUGCACUUGAAAAGGAUAUGUAUUCUGCAUGUUGAGCGUAGUGUACCACGUAUCUCAGUUAGGUCCAGUGUGUUAAAUGCAUCCUUUAAAGAUUCUAUGUGCUUACUGAUGUUUGUUUAUUUUUCAGUGGCUGAGACACAGAUAUUAAAGUUUCCCACAAUGAUC
RNAcentral lists this long non-coding RNA (1669 nucleotides) under Homo sapiens (human). RNAcentral's name for it is "HSALNT0379804". Lineage: Eukaryota; Metazoa; Chordata; Mammalia; Primates; Hominidae. The record is from RNAcentral.